Molecule: ribosomal RNA, 492 nt
Filed under: uncultured bacterium
Lineage: Bacteria
Description: partial 16S ribosomal RNA
Rfam family: Bacterial small subunit ribosomal RNA
Source: RNAcentral
AAUGAACGCUGGCGGUAUGCCUAACACAUGCAAGUCGAACGGCAGCACAGUAAGAUCUUUCUCUUACUGGUGGCGAGUGGCGGACGGGUCAGGAAUACAUCGGAAUCUACUUUUUCGUGGGUGAUAACGUAGGGAAACUUACGCUAAUACCGCAUACUACCUACGUGUUAAAUCAGGAGAUCUUCUCACCUUUCGCGAUUGUAUUAGCCGAUGUCGGAUUAGCUAGUUGGCUGGGUAAAGUCCCACCAAGGCGACUAUCCGUAGCUGGUAUGAGAGGAUGAUCCGCCACACUGGAACUGAGACACGGCCCAGACUCCGACGGGAGGCAGCAGUGGGGAAUAUUGGACAAUGGGCGAAAGCCUGAUACAGCAAUACCGGGUGAGUGAUGAAGGACUUAGGGUUGUAAAGCGAUGUUGUUGGGAAAGAAAAGAAGCAGGUUAACCCGGGGAUAUUAUGACGGUACCUAAAGAAUAAGCACCGGCUAACUUCGUG